This 108-nucleotide ribosomal RNA is filed under the name Microcebus murinus (gray mouse lemur). Lineage: Eukaryota; Metazoa; Chordata; Mammalia; Primates; Cheirogaleidae. The record is from RNAcentral.
GCCAUACCCUGAACCCACCCGAUCCCAUCUGAUCUCGGAAGCUAAGCAGGGUUGGGCCUGGUUAGUACUUGGAUAGGAGAACGCAGAGAGGCUAAGAAGAAAAAAGCC